CAUCCACCCUUUUUUUCCUACCACAGCAGCAUAGUUCCAUUGUGCCUGAUGCUUCUCUGUCACUGAAGAUAUUUAUUCAGCCGUUUGCAUGAAAGUUGGUUUCCCUGCGUGGGUUUUGAGGUGUUCCAACAAAACUUCGGUACUGCCAAACUCCUGGGCGCAUACCCUACAGGAUGCAGUACUGUUGAAUGCAUCAAUGCUAAACAAUCUCACCCUGUACCUAUCUGGAACUGAAGAACAUUGUAACAUUGAUGUUCAAAUGCUGCCACCACGAUUACUUCUCCUGCCCUCUGCUUGGUUUCUUCACUAUCCACAGC
Molecule: long non-coding RNA, 317 nt
Organism: Dryobates pubescens (Downy woodpecker)
Lineage: Eukaryota; Metazoa; Chordata; Aves; Piciformes; Picidae
Exons: 3
Source: RefSeq, a predicted model, not a curated record